GCCAGAGUAAUUGGAGUUCAUGCCUUCUCUUAUCAGCUUAAUCAGUGGGUUGAUAAAUUGCAGUACUCCAACAUUC
This 76-nucleotide microRNA precursor is filed under the name Dipodomys ordii (Ord's kangaroo rat). RNAcentral's name for it is "miRNA (ENSDORG00000026723.1)". The record is from RNAcentral. Lineage: Eukaryota; Metazoa; Chordata; Mammalia; Rodentia; Heteromyidae.